AAUUGAAAUAAAAAAGUUCAACAACUGAUGACUUUUGUUUUCGACCGGGCGGACAUAUUUAGUAUCCCAUCAUCACUGUUUUCUUUAGAAACAGUAGUCGCGUUCUCUGUGUACAAAAUUUUGAGGAUGUCGGUGACGGGAGAAUUGAUGAAUGGUCGCCAGAUAUCUGAUGUUGAUACUUUUUCCUCAUGCACUCUUUUUAUGCG
Kluyveromyces lactis is the source of this 206-nucleotide small nucleolar RNA. NCBI's taxonomy places the organism in Eukaryota, Fungi, Ascomycota, Saccharomycetes, Saccharomycetales, Saccharomycetaceae. The record is from RefSeq and is a predicted model, not a curated record.